RNAcentral lists this unclassified non-coding RNA (928 nucleotides) under Hevea brasiliensis (rubber tree). Lineage: Eukaryota; Viridiplantae; Streptophyta; Magnoliopsida; Malpighiales; Euphorbiaceae. The record is from RNAcentral.
UUGGAUGAACAGGGAAUUAUGGAGAACAUAUUCCAUGCCAGCUAGUUUGGAGGAGUCUUCAUCAAUACAAUCUGAAGAUGAAGAGAAUGGAUCUAGUGAUUCAUCAGAGGACCAUGCGGAACAAUUGAGCAGUGAUGAUUUGAAGGCACUGCUAGCUGACUCGGAAAGAGAAAGGCUCGUUAAAAAUUUAAGUGAAGCCAAUCAACAUAAUAGGUUCCUUAAAAGACAGCUUCAUGCAAAAGAAGAUGAACUGGUUAAUUGGAAAAGUGAACUGGCUGUAAUGGAACUUGAAAUUCAGGCUUUAGUUACACUGGCAGAAGAAAUAGCCCAAUCUGGCAUUCCAGAAGGUUCAAGAAAGAUAAAUGGGAAAUACAUUCAAUCUCACCUCUGUUCACGUUUACAAGCUGUCCAUGAAAGAUUGAAGGAACAAAUAAAGGAUGUUGAUGCUGCACAAUCCAAGGAGGUUCACUUAUUCUGGUGUGGCAUGGCAGAGAGUGUACAAGUAAUGGGAUCCUUUGAUGGUUGGAGUCUAGGAGAGCACUUAUCACCAGAGUAUGAUGGUUCUUUUAACAGGUUUACGACAACAUUAAUGCUUAGACCUGGAAGGUAUGAGAUCAAGUUCUUGGUCGAUGGAGAGUGGCAACUGUCUCCAGAAUAUCCUACCGUUGGUGAGGGACCAACCGAAAAUAACUUGUUAGUUGUUGAGUGACUAGCGGUCUACAGAUCUUAUUACUGUGAAACAAUUUAAGAUUACCACUUCCUAGUAUGAGCUGCUUUCUCUUGAUGCAUUUCUAGUAGUAGCUUAUUAUAUGCUUUAUAGAUGCCUGUGAACUAGCAGACGAGUUUAAGUAUGCAAAACUGAAAAUUGUGUAAAUGUUUGGCAUAUAUAUGAAUAAGUUGAAGAAUUUUUUUUUAAAGCCAAAAAAAU